Molecule: ribosomal RNA, 1065 nt
Filed under: Escherichia coli
Lineage: Bacteria; Pseudomonadati; Pseudomonadota; Gammaproteobacteria; Enterobacterales; Enterobacteriaceae
Description: partial 23S ribosomal RNA
Rfam family: Bacterial large subunit ribosomal RNA
Source: RNAcentral
AGGUGAUAUGAACCGUUAUAACCGGCGAUUUCCGAAUGGGGAAACCCAGUGUGUUUCGACACACUAUCAUUAACUGAAUCCAUAGGUUAAUGAGGCGAACCGGGGGAACUGAAACAUCUAAGUACCCCGAGGAAAAGAAAUCAACCGAGAUUCCCCCAGUAGCGGCGAGCGAACGGGGAGGAGCCCAGAGCCUGAAUCAGUGUGUGUGUUAGUGGAAGCGUCUGGAAAGGCGCGCGAUACAGGGUGACAGCCCCGUACACAAAAAUGCACAUAUUGUGAGCUCGAUGAGUAGGGCGGGACACGUGGUAUCCUGUCUGAAUAUGGGGGGACCAUCCUCCAAGGCUAAAUACUCCUGACUGACCGAUAGUGAACCAGUACCGUGAGGGAAAGGCGAAAAGAACCCCGGCGAGGGGAGUGAAAAAGAACCUGAAACCGUGUACGUACAAGCAGUGGGAGCCUCUUUAUGGGGUGACUGCGUACCUUUUGUAUAAUGGGUCAGCGACUUAUAUUCUGUAGCAAGGUUAACCGAAUAGGGGAGCCGAAGGGAAACCGAGUCUUAACUGGGCGUUAAGUUGCAGGGUAUAGACCCGAAACCCGGUGAUCUAGCCAUGGGCAGGUUGAAGGUUGGGUAACACUAACUGGAGGACCGAACCGACUAAUGUUGAAAAAUUAGCGGAUGACUUGUGGCUGGGGGUGAAAGGCCAAUCAAACCGGGAGAUAGCUGGUUCUCCCCGAAAGCUAUUUAGGUAGCGCCUCGUGAAUUCAUCUCCGGGGGUAGAGCACUGUUUCGGCAAGGGGGUCAUCCCGACUUACCAACCCGAUGCAAACUGCGAAUACCGGAGAAUGUUAUCACGGGAGACACACGGCGGGUGCUAACGUCCGUCGUGAAGAGGGAAACAACCCAGACCGCCAGCUAAGGUCCCAAAGUCAUGGUUAAGUGGGAAACGAUGUGGGAAGGCCCAGACAGCCAGGAUGUUGGCUUAGAAGCAGCCAUCAUUUAAAGAAAGCGUAAUAGCUCACUGGUCGAGUCGGCCUGCGCGGAAGAUGUAACGGGGCUAAACCAUG